UACGUAGGGGGCAAGCGUUGUCCGGAAUCAUUGGGCGUAAAGAGCGCGUAGGCGGCCCUGUAAGUCCGCUGUGAAAGUCAAGGGCUCAACCCUUGAAUGCCGGUGGAUACUGCAGGGCUAGAGUCCGGAAGAGGCGAGUGGAAUUCCUGGUGUAGCGGUGAAAUGCGCAGAUAUCAGGAGGAACACCGAUGGCGAAGGCAGGUCUCUGGGCCAUAACUGACGCUGAGAAGCGAAAGCAUGGGGAGCGAACAGG
RNAcentral lists this ribosomal RNA (253 nucleotides) under uncultured bacterium. RNAcentral's name for it is "partial 16S ribosomal RNA". It matches the Rfam family "Bacterial small subunit ribosomal RNA", at positions 524 to 776 of the family's 1533-position model. The record is from RNAcentral.